RNAcentral lists this transfer RNA (126 nucleotides) under Talaromyces rugulosus. RNAcentral describes it as "Penicillium rugulosum tRNA". It matches the Rfam family "tRNA". From Rfam's summary of the family: Transfer RNA (tRNA) molecules are approximately 80 nucleotides in length. Lineage: Eukaryota; Fungi; Ascomycota; Eurotiomycetes; Eurotiales; Trichocomaceae. The record is from Rfam by way of RNAcentral.
GCCCGAUUAUUUCAAUUGGUUAGAAUGUCAGCCUUUUAAGAAUUGAAGCAAAAGCCCCCACCUGUUGCAGGAGGGAUGCUCCAGCUGUAUAGCUGAAAGCUGCGAGUUCGAGCCUCGCAUCGGGCU